AUCUGGCUCAGGACGAACGCUGGCGGCGCGCCUAACACAUGCAAGUCGAACGAGAGAGAAGGAGCUUGCUUCUUCGAUCGAGUGGCGAACGGGUGAGUAACGCGUGAGGAACCUGCCUCAAAGAGGGGGACAACAGUUGGAAACGACUGCUAAUACCGCAUAAGCCCACGGGUCGGCAUCGACCUGAGGGAAAAGGAGCAAUCCGCUUUGAGAUGGCCUCGCGUCCGAUUAGCUGGUUGG
This 240-nucleotide ribosomal RNA is filed under the name uncultured bacterium. RNAcentral describes it as "partial 16S ribosomal RNA". It matches the Rfam family "Bacterial small subunit ribosomal RNA", at positions 17 to 252 of the family's 1533-position model. The record is from RNAcentral.